Molecule: transfer RNA, 85 nt
Filed under: Felis catus (domestic cat)
Lineage: Eukaryota; Metazoa; Chordata; Mammalia; Carnivora; Felidae
Also listed under: 1 other name
Rfam family: tRNA
About the family: Transfer RNA (tRNA) molecules are approximately 80 nucleotides in length.
Source: Rfam by way of RNAcentral
GCCUGGGUGGCUCAGUCGGUUAAGCGUCUGACUUCGGCUCAGGUCACGAUCUCGCGGUCCGUGAGUUCAAGCCCCGCGUCAGGCU